RNAcentral lists this ribosomal RNA (712 nucleotides) under uncultured bacterium. RNAcentral describes it as "bacterial SSU rRNA". It matches the Rfam family "Bacterial small subunit ribosomal RNA", at positions 1 to 706 of the family's 1533-position model. The record is from RNAcentral.
UAGAGUUUGAUCCUGGCUCAGGAUGAACGCUAGCGAUAGGCCUAACACAUGCAAGUCGAGGGGCAGCACAUGCGUAGCAAUACAAUGGUGGCGACCGGCGCACGGGUGAGUAACACGUAUGCAACCUACCUUCAACAUUGGAAUAACCCGUUGAAAGACGGACUAAUACCGAAUAAAACAGGGGCACCUCCUGGUGAUAUUUGUUAAAGAUUUUAUCGGUUGAAGAUGGGCAUGCGUAUGAUUAGUUAGUCGGCGGGGUAACGGCCCACCGAGACGACGAUCAGUAGGGGUUCUGAGAGGAAAGUCCCCCACAUUGGAACUGAGACACGGUCCAAACUCCUACGGGAGGCAGCAGUGAGGAAUAUUGGUCAAUGGGCGGAAGCCUGAACCAGCCAAGUAGCGUGCAGGACGACGGCCCUAUGGGUUGUAAACUGCUUUUAUGCGGGGAUAAAGUGGGCCACGCGUGGCCUUUUGCAGGUACCGCAUGAAUAAGGACCGGCUAAUUCCGUGCCAGCAGCCGCGGUAAUACGGAAGGUCCGGGCGUUAUCCGGAUUUAUUGGGUUUAAAGGGGGCGCAGGCCGCCGGGCAAGCGUGUUGUGAAAUGCAGUCGCUCAACGUCUGCACUGCAGCGCGAACUGCCCAGCUUGAGUGCGCGCAACGUUUGGCGGAUUUCGCCGUGUAGCGGUGAAAAUGCUUAAAAUAUCACGAAAAA